GGGCUAGUAUGAAUGGUUUGACAAGAGUAAUACUGUCUCUACAAAAAUUUUCUGAAUUUAUUUUUUAGGUGAAGAAUCCUAAAUAAAAUUAAAAGACAAGAAGACCCUAUCGAGCUUCAAAUUUAUUUAUAAAAUAAAAAAAAUUAUAAAUAUUUUUGAUUAUAAAAAAUUUUGGUUGGGGCGACUAAGGAACAAAAAAAACUUCUUAAAAUAUUAAAAAAUUAUGAUUAAUGAUCCAUUAUUUAAUGAUUAAAAGAAUUAGUUACCGUAGGGAUAACAGCAUAAUCCAUUUUGAGAGUUMUUAUCRAAAAAUGGGUUUGUGACCUCGAAUGUUA
Molecule: ribosomal RNA, 335 nt
Filed under: Cochlis vittata
Lineage: Eukaryota; Metazoa; Mollusca; Gastropoda; Littorinimorpha; Naticidae
Description: Natica vittata partial 16S ribosomal RNA
Source: RNAcentral